RNAcentral lists this ribosomal RNA (387 nucleotides) under uncultured bacterium. Its description in RNAcentral is "partial 16S ribosomal RNA". It matches the Rfam family "Bacterial small subunit ribosomal RNA", at positions 330 to 732 of the family's 1533-position model. The record is from RNAcentral.
CCCAGACUCCUACGGGAGGCAGCAGUGGGGAAUAUUGCACAAUGGGGGGAACCCUGAUGCAGCGACGCCGCGUGGGCGAGGAAGUAUUUCGGUAUGUAAAGCCCUAUCGGCAGGGAAGAAGAAAUGACGGUACCUGAAUAAGAAGCACCGGCUAAAUACGUGCCAGCAGCCGCGGUAAUACGUAUGGGGCAAGCGUUAUCCGGAUUUACUGGGCGUAAAGGGAGCGCAGGCGGCGCGCCAAGUCUGAUGUGAAACCCCGGGGCUCCACCCCGGGCAUGCCUUGGAAACUGGCUGGCUGGAGUGCCGGAGAGGUUAGCGGAAUUCCUAGUGUGGCGGUGAAAUGCGUCGAUAUCAGGCGGAACACCGGCAUCUCGUGCGGCCUGCUGG